CUACACCACACACACACACGCACGCACGCACACACACGCACGCACGCGCACACACACACGCGCACACACACGCACACGCCCGCGCACACACUCUCUCACACACACACAGAGAUUGGAGAGAGACAGGAGAGAGACAUGUUUUCAUCUAUCCUUUGUGGACUUCUGUUGUUUUUACUGCUGUGAAAUUUGACUUGCGAUAUCUGCUUAAAGCAAUGAAGAGAAAAGCUGAAGUCAGUGAUUAGGAGUGUCUGUGUAAGUAAAAGCAACAGGCAAUUACUGAGUGUGGUGUGAGAGGCACGGAAAGAUUGGGAAUUCAGCAAGAAGAGGAAUUGAAGUCAAACCUCACCUACUUCCCAGAGUCUUCUGGAUUUUCUGUUAGAAGCUUCAGUAUCUGAGAUAUUCCUAUGCAUUCUACUGCUUUAAUCCCACCUAAGUAGAGAUGUCCACAACAGAGAGAAUGGAGCUGUCACAUCGUUUCAACUGCCCAGGUAGUUCCUACUGGAUGAAUGGGAUUGUCACCUUCACACCUGCUAGAGGCUUGGAGCAUGCAAGAGUUUUUUUAAAUGGCUUCACCUUUCUUAUGAAAAUGCAACCACUAGUACUCUUCCAAUAAAAGCUUUUCUCAAGUGUGAGUAUACACUUGGCAUGGAAUAUUUUAGCUAUUUUCUCUCUCAGGACUCAUGUUUUAUUACAUAGCAUUUAGUCUCAACAUAUGUGGAUACAUAUUUUCUUUCUGAUAGUUAUUAUGCUUUUGUUUCUUCAUAUUUGUUUUAUUCUUGAUUUGAAAAAAUUAAUUUCAGAGAAACCUCCAGACUACACGCAAGCCAGUGCAGGCAUUUGAUAUCAUGAAGCUAUGAGAAUUCCCAGUUAUGGGAAGCCCUGAUGUCAUAAGAAAAUUAGACCAGCUUAGCUCAGAACAGUUUCAAUGAAAUACAUUCAUUUCACACUGUAUUAAUAUAAUCCUUGUAUUACUUCUUUUUAUCAGUCUCACAAGUCUUAAUUUUUCCAGUCAGAUAUAAAUAAGACACAAUGCAAAAGAAAGCUUAAAGAGGGAGAGGUGAGGAGAUUCUUUGAGGCCAGGAGUUCUAGACCAGCAGGGCAAUAUAGUGAGACUCUGUCUCUUAAAAAAAAAAGAAGUAAAAAUAACAAGAAAGCUUAAAGAAUGGUAAAUAUCCCUUUAAAGUACAUUUCUUCCUAUGUCAGUCUCCAGGUUUUCUAUCCUAGUUGUCACUUAUUAACUCAGAGUGUUCAUAUUUGUGUUAAAUUGAGGAAAGGUGAAAUUCAUUCUGAGAAUAACUAUUCAGACAUUGAUAAAAAGAUUUGUUCUCUCUGGGCAACAUUCUAGGUCAGUGAAUUUAGCAUUGAAUAAGAUGUUAUUUUGUAUUCAAAUAACAGCUGUAUCUGGUUUACCCCUUGUGGCGCAGUGAGGAAAAUUAGGCAAUGUGUAAAUAUAAUUUUUGUUAUUUACUAUGCUACAUAUUCAAUUAGCUUGAAAACAAAAAACAAACACCAAACCACUCAUUCCACCGUAUAGCCCAGAGCUACCAUUUCCCUCUCUAAGGGGAAGAGAACCUAAGCAUUGGCUAGGAGCAGCUGCAAUUAGAAUUUCUUUCAUAGACUUUCCUGAAAACCCAAUAAAAGAAGUAGAAAGGAGAGGCUGGGCCUAUUACAUUUAUUGGAGGCCCACAGCCUGGUUUCUAUUAAGUUUGACAGUAUUUAUUUUUGAAGCUAGAAUCAUGUACUUACCUAUGAUUGCAAACAUUGUUUUCAAAAUAUCAAAUAACGAAUGUGCAAAAACUGAAUAAUAAUGAAAUGGAUGGAAAGUGACAAAACGGAAAUUCUUCUCCCCCACAGCAAAGGCUCAAAAAUUCCAGAGAGUGGACAAACAUGAAUACUUCCUGUUUCACUGUAAAGGUUUUUGGUGCUUAAAUUUUAAGUCUCCAUUUUCAGUCUGUGAUUGUCUAUCAAUUAUAUUUAAUUAAUGUUUUUAUUACAAUAAUAUUGUGCCAUCAGUUACAAAAUAUUUUAUAAAACAAUGCAUAUUCGUGUUAUUGCCUUUCAAGAAAAUUCCAGAAAAUUCAUAGGGAUAUUCCCCUCAAAUUUUAAUGUUAUAACAUUUCCCGUGUAAUAAUGUGUCUUAAAAAGUUGCCACUUAUAAAAUAGUUUUCCCGUAUGACAUACCCAAAUUCUGGGUCUUGUCCAAACCUUUAUGUUUCUGUCCUACAACAUUUUCUCAUUUGAUAGUUGGUCAUGUGAAAAAAACAUGUUAUGUUUUCAUGUUAUGUUUCUCUAAGUAGAAAGAUUUUUCCAGUGAACAAAAUCUUAGCUCAAUGUUCCCAGUAAGAGUCUGAACAAGCAAUCUUGGUAUGUUGUAGAACUUCAAGUUCUGUUAUGAGCAGAAUUUCCUCACAAAUGUAGCAAAAUUAUUGCUCUUACUUUUCAGUUUUUCUUGUCUUUUUUUUUUAAUGAAGGACUUGAAACCACCAAAUCUUAUUUUCUUUCUUAUGGAUUCUAUUAAUUAUAAUGCAUAUUUGAAAAUUGAAGCUUUGUAGUUAUUAAACUACCUAUUACUUCUGAUGUUACCUUUUGGACAAAUGGUAUUCAUUUAAUUUUGGGUUCUGUGAAUUUUUGAUUUUACAAGAACCCUUUGGCUUUAGAAAGAGAAUGAGAACAUCUCUGGAUUCUUUCACCCCUUUUUAACGGUGGGGCUCCGUGUACUUUCCACUGAAGGAGUGAGCAUUGUCAACUAGUUAACACAAGCUAUUGGAAAAAUCCCUGAAUUUUGUAUGGGAAGAAUAAUUGCACACAAAUGCACUCAGGAAUCCUAUGGAAAAUAUAGUGCUGUUAACUGGCAUGGUUACAACACAAUUUAGCAAGUAUGUUAGAACAAAUUACCCCCUUUAACCAUAAGCCAUUCUGUUUCACGCUUCUUAAUGAAGGCCUGUGCCACACACUAGAAUACUUCUCACCUCAUUACUACUCAUAAAAAGCAAUGAUCCAUUCAAAGUCUCCUCAUAUCUCCCAUAUGAGUGGUAAAGAGCUUCGCCUCUCAUUCUGGCAGGAGGACAGGGAGGCUUCUUCCCAGCCUGCCUUUGAAGUAGGUCAUUAGAAUGUUUACUAGAUAAAAGGACUCAAAAAUUUAUCUGUGUAAUCUCACUGUUGUCAUGUGUUAAUGUUCUAUCCUUCCUUUAAAAACAAAACAAAACAAAGCAAACAAAACCCAAAGACAUUUCUGUCCCUGUUUAGAGAAUACAGGAGAUUUGUAACACUCAGUGCAAUUUUUCUCCUGCAGUAUUCACAAGAUAUUUUCAAAGAAACUCUAAAAAGCAGGAAGAAUUUAAUGGGCCACUGAAAUACAAAGUAUGGAUUCAAUAAAAAGGCAGGAAGAGAAGCAAGCUGAUAGGCCAGUUAAGAAGAAACAGUCCAAUUUUAGAAUUAAACAACUUUUUCUCUCCACGGAGUGUCAUCAAAAGGAAAAUAAA
RNAcentral lists this long non-coding RNA (3482 nucleotides) under Homo sapiens (human). RNAcentral's name for it is "HSALNT0081074". Lineage: Eukaryota; Metazoa; Chordata; Mammalia; Primates; Hominidae. The record is from RNAcentral.